RNAcentral lists this transfer RNA (86 nucleotides) under Silvimonas terrae. Its description in RNAcentral is "tRNA-Leu". It matches the Rfam family "tRNA". From Rfam's summary of the family: Transfer RNA (tRNA) molecules are approximately 80 nucleotides in length. The record is from RNAcentral. Lineage: Bacteria; Pseudomonadati; Pseudomonadota; Betaproteobacteria; Neisseriales; Chitinibacteraceae.
GCCCCGGUGGUGAAACAGGUAGACACAAGAGACUUAAAAUCUCUCGGCCACGUGCCAUGCCGGUUCGAUUCCGGCCCGGGGCACCA